RNAcentral lists this ribosomal RNA (258 nucleotides) under uncultured archaeon. RNAcentral describes it as "partial 16S ribosomal RNA". It matches the Rfam family "Archaeal small subunit ribosomal RNA", at positions 748 to 1005 of the family's 1478-position model. The record is from RNAcentral.
CAGCCGUAAACUAUGCGCGUUAGAUGUACCGGUGACCACGAGUCACCGAGGUGCCGAAGGGAAACCGUGAAACGUGCCGCCUGGGAAGUACGGUCGCAAGGCCGAAACUUAAAGGAAUUGGCGGGGGAGCACCACGACGGGUGGAGCCUGCGGUUUAAUUGGACUCAACGCCGGGAAGCUCACCGGAUAGGACAGCAGAAUGAUUGCCGGGCUGAAGACCCUGCAUGACUAGCUGAGAGGAGGUGCAUGGCGUCAGUG